GCCUUCGUGGUGUAGUGGUCAGCACGCUCGACGCGUAUUCGAGAGAUCCGUGGUUCGAGUCCCGGCGAAGGCG
This 73-nucleotide transfer RNA is filed under the name Stegodyphus mimosarum. RNAcentral's name for it is "tRNA-Thr for anticodon CGU". It matches the Rfam family "tRNA". From Rfam's summary of the family: Transfer RNA (tRNA) molecules are approximately 80 nucleotides in length. The record is from Rfam by way of RNAcentral. Lineage: Eukaryota; Metazoa; Arthropoda; Arachnida; Araneae; Eresidae.